CCCUGGAAAACAGAAUACAAACUUCCUGAAAGAAUGCUCGCAAAUUAUAGGCUUCCCUUCUGGUGCACACUCUCAUGCCACAGGAACAUUUUAGAUCCCACCUGAGUUAUGCUGACUUUCCUGCCCAACUUUUGAGAAAAAUCAGAGUAAAUUGCAGGGGAAAGAUUUCUUUUUAUCCUCCUACAGAGGCGGGGAGGGGAAAAAAAUCCUUCAGCUUUUUAACAGAGAAGAGAGAGAGAGGAGAGAGGGAGGGAGAGAGAGAGAGAGAGACCAUAGCAAACACAAAACAUGGUAAACUGUUCAUUUCACCCUUGAAAAAUCAAAUGGAAACAAGUGUGAGGAAAAACUUAAAUACUUCUUUACUUCAUUUGAGAUAUUGUGUGGGAUUCUGAGGCAGUAAAAUGCUGUCGGGUGACUACCCUGUUUUGAAAAGUGCAUUAUCAGGUUAGUAACAAAUGCUUCCUUCUUGCCAGACAUAGUGAAGGUGUUACUCCAGGGUAAUGAGAAAAUAGGAGCAGAAAGAACAUGCUGCUGGGACAUCCAAGCCAAGGACAAAGAAGCCAUUCUUUGUUGACCAAACUGGGAGGCGUCUCUGCCUCCCCAACCCUUCUGUGCCCCAUUUUACAGAUUCUCUAUUUCUUAAGCCUUCCUCAAACACUCGUUAAGACUGGCAUAUGAUGUGGAUCCCAUUCUGGGUUAGGACACUGGAGUCCAUGGUAAUGAUCUUUCAGAGUAACAUGACUGGGAAGGGUUAGAGUUAUGGGUAACACCGAGUCUCCCAGCUUCGAGCCUUCCCUGGAAUUGAGAGGGGAAAUUGGACUGACAGAAGGUAACAGGCCCCCAUCCCAAAUUAAUGCUGAGUUAUUUGUGUUCUUGUUUUUGUUUCUGUUCCUCUAUAACGUAGGCUACUCUUCAAGGCAAUCCUCCGGCUUCAGUCUUCCAAGUGCUGGAGUUACAGGUGUGAGCCACCAUAACUAGUCCCAUGCACCUCCAAUCUCUUUAUUGUUUUUGAGACAGAGUCUCAUGUUGAUCCACCCUGGAACUUGCUAUGUAGACCAGGCUGGCUUUGAAGUCAUAGAACUCUGCCUGCCUCUGCCUCCUGAGAGCUGGGAUUAAAGGCUGUGCCAUCUUCCUAUGGUUUUCCAAUAGGUUUUUAAAAUAUAUGUUAUUUUUGAAGGGCUGGAGAUGAAACUUAGACCUUUCUCGGCCAUGGCUCUGUCACUGAGCCACACCUCAGGCCACGGCUAAUCACUUCUUGCUCCUUCAUUGUACGUUGUCAAGGAUGCGGCCCUGAGAGAAAGAACAGGUAGGUAGGUGCUUCUUGGAGAUCUGGAGGAGGCUGAGCCACCCUAGCCCUUGAUGGUUCAUUUAUAUAGAGCACAGCUCACUUACCAUCACAUAGUUAAAGGACAGCUUGUCGAUGGUCACUACUGUACUUACAUAGGACUUGAGGUGGGUGUUCUGGGAGCUACCACAAGUGCUAUGGAAUAGGCAUAGAUAGCACACUCACGGGAAGAAAUCAACAAAAUGCCAUGGCAGAGAAUCCUUGAUGAUGUGCUCAGAUUUUAUCUCUAGAUAAGGUAGAUUUAAAAGCAUAUAUAACCAGAGUUUUUCCUAGGAACACCUGAUCCUUUUCGAAUGAUGAAUCCAACCCCUAGGCACACCUGUGUGACCUAAAGUCCUGUAUUUGGGUCACUUCCUGUGGUCCCCUCUCUUUUCAUAUCCUUCAAUUGGCCCAUUCCAUAUAGCCUAGAGCUAAUUUGGGCCAUCUAGGAUCAUGAUGAAUUUUAAGAAUCUGGGUGGGGAGGUUCCCCAAGUUAGCAUUCCGUGGAGAUCAGGGGGUGAAUCCCAUGCUGUUUUACAAGGCAAUCUUCUAGUUUUCCCUCUGGAAUGAGUGAGGAGUUGCAAAGGCCUCUUGGUUACCGGCCUACAUCCAUGGAUUAUGGCCCCUGUAAAACAGGGCAUCUGUCCUUCCAAGGUUUAAGCAAUCGGCUAUGGAGAGAAAGUCAGUGUAGAUGCACCAUGAGGUUUUAAAAAACAAACCAACAACAAAAACCCACAAAGAACAAACACCACCCCUUCCCCCAAAAAACCACCACCCACAAAGUUGAUAAGCCCUGGGUGAUCUGUCUGGGUUCAGGCUUUGUCUCCUGAAGCUGUGUGGACUUCCACAAGCAAAUCAGAGAUGAGAACUACUCCCAGCUGCUUUUUAAGACCUGGACAGAACAUUUCUUUGUGUGUGUGUGUGUGGGGGGGGGCAGAUAGAGCUUGAUUUUCUUAAAUGUGGAAAACAAGAUUUAUCGUUGCUGUUCUGUUUCCUUCCCCCCCCCCCAAGAUUUAUUUAUUUAUUAUAUACACUAUAGCUGUCUUUAGACACACCAGACGAGGGCAUUGGAUCACAUUACGGAUGGUCGUGAGCCACCAUGUGGUAGCUGGGAUUUGAACUCAGGACCUCUGGAAGAGCAGCCAGUGCUCUUAACCACUGAGCCAUCUCUCCAGCCUGCUGUUCUGUUUCCUUAUCUCUGUAAAUUGAGACCUCAGCGUUCAGAAUUAGAGGAUCUGGCAUAAAUAUCCACGUCUUCAUACAUCAACUCAUAACAUGCCUUCUGUUUCUCUUACUGUAUAGAUUUAUCUGGAAACGCAAACAGUCUGGUGGUCAAGACUAGUUCUUAAGAACGUAACUUGUCGAGAAGCUGCCUGGAGUCUGGAGGAUAGUUUGCAGAUGCUGGAGGAGUUUUUGUUUUACUGGCUGAUGCUUUUUUUUUUUUUCUUUUCUUUUUUUUUUUUUUUUUUUUGGAGAACUGACAUUCCAUCUCAAAAAAUGCCAGGAACUGCCUGAAGAUUUGGGUUAUACUUUUAAGAUGCCUUUAAGGAGCUGGAGGGUCUGUGCAAUGCUUAAGAGCUGCUCCUGCUAAGGACAGUUCGAUUUCCAGUACCCACAUCGGGGUUCAUAACUGUUUGUCACUCUAGUUCCAGGGGAUCUGGAGAUUCUGUAUGUGCCAAGAUGCACAUAUAUACACGGAGGCAAAUAUGUGCCAAGAUGCACAUAUAUACACGGAGGCAAAUAUGUGCCAAGAUGCACAUAUAUAUACGGAGGCAAAUAUGUGCCAAGAUGCACAUAUAUACACGGAGGAUAUACACGGAGGCAAACGCUCAGACACAUAAAAGCAAUCCUUUUAGAGUUCCUUUAAACAGUACCGCCCUUGUAACCAAAUACUUGGAGAACCACGUUGACAGUAACAGCUACAAUGUUUUGAACAGUUACUAACGAGUGCAUGGCUGGAACUUUAUAUACAUUGUUUCAUGUAUAUUGCCCACAACCACACAUAGGUAUAGAUGCUAUCAUUCACCCCAUGAAAAAUCUGUCUAGGAGGCUGAGAAAGAGGCUGUCAAUAAAGUGUUUGUUUCAUAAGCAGGUCUUGAGCACAGUCUCCAAGACUCGGGUCAAAGGCUAACACGUGUACUUUUGCAAUCCAGUGAUGGGGAAGCAGAGAUGGAAGGGUCCUUGGGCAGGCUGGCCAGCGAGGCUAGCUGAAUUGGUUCACUGUAUUCCAGGAUCAGGGAGAUACUCUGUCUCAAAAACAAAGGUGGUCAGCAAGCGAGGAAACCUGCCAGUGAUCUCUGGCCUUCAUGUGCAGCUGCACAAAAGCACAAAAGUCUUUUUCAUUUCAGUAGAAAACAUGCACUCUAAAAAUGGGUGUCUGGUGCUGGAGAGAUGACUCAGUGGUUAAGAGCACUGACUGCACUUCUUAGAGGUCCUAAGUUCAAUUCUCAGCAACCACAUGGUGGCUCACAACCAUCUAAAAUAAAAUCUGAUGCCUUCUUCUGGUGUGGCUGAAGACAGCUAUAGUGUACUCAUAUAUGUAGCCAUUACCAACACCCACUGUACUGUGCAAUAAAGCUCCAGACUGUUCUAUGUUGCAAAACCUAAACUGUAUCAAGCAAGCAACUCCCCUUUGUCCCUGCUAUCCUGCUUCUGCCACACCGCCAUUUUCCCUUCUGUUCCUAUGACCUUAUCCAUUUUCAUCCUAUAACUUACAAACCUGGAGCAAGUCCAUUCCUCAGCUCAUCAGGGUAUAAUGGGAAAAAAACGCUUGUGUUUCUCUGUCUCUGUCUCUGUGUGUGUGUGUGUGUGUGUGUGUGUGUGUGUGUGUGUGUGUGUGUAUUUGAAGACAGGGUUUCUCCAUGUAGCCAUAGCUAUCCUAGAACUCGCUCUGUAGACCACGCUGGCCUCAAACUCACAGAGAUCCACCUGUUUCUGCCUUGUGAGUGCUGGGUGUAAAUGCAUGUGCUACCACCACCUAGCUCCAUGUUUGUUUUCUAAAGAUUUAUCUUUAUUUAUAUUACAUAUAUAUGUGUGCAUCUGUGUGUGGGUAUGUGCAUGGGACUACUGGUGCUUGUGGAGUCCAGAAGACAGUGUUGGAUCCUUUGAAGCUAGAGUUAUAGGUGUUUGUGAACUGUAUGAUGUGGGUGCUGGGGAACCAGAACUCAGGUUUUCUAGAACAACAGUAGUACAUACGCUUAACCACUAAGCCACCUCUCUAUUCUCAAACAUGUUCAUCUGAUUCAAAUCCCGUGUGCUCUUAAAAGCUUUUGGAUUAAAAAUGUGCUGAGCAUGUCUUGUGGUUAGCUGAAUCAGACUCCAAUACAAAUAACUAGUCUCAUUCAGCUGUGUUAUUUGUGUUGGAAGGGAGUGUGUUAAAUUGCAGAUUCCAAGUUCAGUCCAACAGAGUUAGAGGCAAGAAAGCCUGAAGGCUGGCCAGAAAUCGCCUCACAAUUCCACUGCACACUUAAGUCUAUGACCUUGUGCUUUCGCUGCUCUGAGUAGAAGUUGAAGGCCAAGUUACAAGUAUAUACUUACAACUCGUAAGACCACUGGGGCCUCUUCGAUCUCUUGCAGAGUGUCCCCACAGUGCUUAGUAAUGGACAUUUCUUAGUCUAGUCGUCAUUCACUGGUCAUCAUCCACUGAAUAGAGCAGACUGUGCCAGGCCUUUGGGAACCACUUAAGAGAGGAGGGGAAGACUCCACCCCUGGACUUUAAGAUCUUCCAGUUGUGAGAGCAGUAAGGAAGAAGAGCGGCAGCUGCCUCAGGACAGAGGAGAUCUGUGACUGUAUUGGCUUUUCCCGGUCAGCAUCUUCCUUACCACAUGCUAACCUCCAUAGAUAUGAGGCUGUGCGCUCAGCACACACUACACACAUUCCACAGUGCACACCUCCAUAGAUAUGAGGCUGUGUGCUCAGCACACACUACAUACACUCUAUGACAGUUGCCCCAGGGCUCAAGCCCUAUAAGUUUUCAUUCUACAGCGACCAAUUGUGUCGUUUGUCAUUGAAGAUCCCUGGUCAGUGCAUGGGCACUGCUUGUUGUCUAUAGGUCUGGGACUCAGACUCCUGGAAGUGAGGCACAACAUAUUGGGGCUCCUGUCAUCUGUAUGGGGGAAGAGGGAGACACUGACGCAGGCUUUAGAUUUUGGGACACUAAACUCAUUCCUGGUGAUGAUAGGCACAUAGGGUUGACCACAUAGCUUAAUUGUGAAGCACUAACCCCGCAUACCAGAGACCCUGGGUUUGAUCACCAGCACCACAAAACCAUGAUUCAGAAUGGCCCUGAAGUAACAUGCUCCUAGAGCCUUUUCAGAAGAAUGUUUUUUAGGGAAAGUAGUGAUGGGAGCCAUGGGUGACAUGGGAAGAAUGGCCACAGCUAUAGGAAAGUCACGGUUUCUGGCAUUUAGAACCUGAAGUUGUUUGUUUUUCCUUCUCUAGAGCACCAAAAGGCCAGUUUUCCAGAAGCUGACACUACUACAAAUUCUUCUUCAUCUCAUUACCAGGGUGGAACUCAGGUCUCCCACAUUCAAGGCGAGUCCUCUGAUAGGGAGCUGCACACCCAGCUCAAGUGGAUACUAUCCCUUGUUUGAGGGUAUUCACCGGAACCUGCAGAUGGGGGUGGUGCCGUGUGCAGAGAGCUCUGCCUCAGUACCUGCUUCUUAAGGUCACACAGACUCCAACAUGACACUGGCCCUUUUGCUCAGACAAUUGUUUCCAGUGAAUUUCUAGUACUUUUGUUUAAAAAUAUUUUUACAUUUGGGGGGUUUACGUGGCACACGCAUGGCAGUCAGAGGACGCCUUGGAACCAGUGUUCUCUUUGACCCCUGUGGGUCCCAAGGCUCAUACUCAGGCCAUCAGGCUCAGAAGGAAUGUGUUUACUCACUGGGUAUCUUGCUGCCUAUGUUGUUGUCAGUGUUGGUCACUGAGUGUCAGGUUUCCAGGUCAGAUUUUGGCUUUGAGUAGGCCUGAGGUCAACCUUGGGAGUCUCCCUAAACUGCUUUCCACCUGAGUUUUUGAGACGGCCUGGAGUGUGGUGAAUCAGCCUGGUGAUCCGUACCGCCUCAGCCCUAGCAAUAAAGUUGUGCCACAUACCCACCUUUUGGUAACUGCCUACCCAACACUCCCUCCCCUUUCUUUCCCAUCUUUCAGCCAUUUCACUGGCAGAAUUCUUGGACAAUUUGGUUGUGGUGUUCACUUUAGCAUAGGAGUUUGGGUGCUGUGGCUCUUUUGCUGCUAAGUAGGGAAUCUCAUUAAGAGGGGGUCCCCCGCCGCGGUCUGACUACUACAUUUGAAGUAGGUGCAUUUGUGUGCUUAAGUCUUUGACUGCCCUGGGACUCACUGAGCCAAGCAUCACUUCCCUAGUAGGGACUCUACAACGUGGCCCCCACCUCAGCACCUCUGUUCUCAUUCCGAGGUGAUUUCCUGUACCUGACAAACUCCUGAUGCUUCAAAGUGUCUAAAGAUGACGUCCCAGUGGAGUUAUUUAUUCAACUUCCUUGGUCAUCACCUGUCCUUCCCUGUAGAACUGCUGCAGUGGGUCUUGUCUGUCCUCCUUGUCUGUCAUCACUGGCUUCUGGCUGUCCUUUUCACUAGAUUGGGAGCCUCUUGAGGGUUAGGUCACUUACCUAGUACCUGGGACUUCUCAAACCAUGCACCUAGACGAUGCCCCCUGCAGACAAUGACAAGAGACACUGAAGAAUGCCUGAAGGUUAUGAGUCCAUGGUAGAAUAUUGGCCUAGCUUGUAAAGGCUAGAACAUUGAGGGAUAGAAAGGAAAGAGGGGAGGGAGGGGAAGAGGGCAGAUUCGGGGAGCAACAGGGGUUUAAUGGAAUAAGGAGAAACUACAGUUUUCCUGGUUAUGACUGGGCCUUCAUUUUUUUUCUUUCUUUUUGGACCUCAAAUGUGAUUUUCUGAGUAAGUUUUGCUACUGUACAUGAUUGGUGGGUCCAUAAGUCACUCUGACAUAUGCAGUAAGGAUCCAUACCAAUUGGUCCUAGGGACCUGGAAUCUUGUCAUCCACCCUAUCAAACUGUGUGAGACCCUGGCUCACAACUCUUUAGAUUCUUUACCAUUUAAUGUGGUUGAAGCCUACAACAUGCUUGUAUAUGUGGGUGUAGUUAGGUGGGAACACAGUGAUGUGUCCCUGACCCCAUGAAGUAUUCAGCUAGUGCAGGAAAAUGCAUUAAACAAUCAUCUCUAGUAAUGAUAAAAUACAAUGCAAGGCAGGUACGACGUUGGAAGAGCAUUCAGCAGGGGGCUCAGUAAAAGCCAGGUGAGGGCAGGAAAAGAGUGACCAGGCAGUUAGUUCCCAGUGGAACUCAGAGCUGGGUGAUAAUUAGACAUUUAAUCUGCAAGAAUCUUUUCGUACCCUUGAUCCUUUCCAGGUUUGGUAACAUUUACUGGUGAGUUGACCAAUACCCAAGUCUCCAGCAAGAUACAAUGGCUGACCUCAAAACUGUAAUGUGAGCUGAGUUCAUGGUAACUAGUGAGAGUGACUUAAUCAUUCAAGGGAAAUCAAGUAAGACAUAUUUGUGGUAUGAGAAGGCAUGUUGUAGAGAGAGAAGACAGGGUCAAAAGGGGGCAGUUCAAGCAGGUGAGAGAUUGGAGGAACAGGUAGUCUUAGUUUUGUCUUUUUAAUUUGUUUCUGUUUUGUCAAGACAGGGUUUCUUUGUGUAGCCCUGGCUGUCCUAGAACUCACUAUGUAGGUCAGACUGGCCUUAAAGUCAGAGAGAUCUGUCUGCCUCUGCCUCCUGAGCGCUGGGAUUGAAGGUGUGUACCACCACACCAAGUUGAUUGUAUUUUUAAACCUUUACAAAAUAGUUUCUGUAUUUGAGACAAGGUCUUUCUAUAUAGAUCAGGUUAGCCUGGAGUUUACUAUAUAGCCCAGGCUGGCCUCAGACUUGGGACAAACUUCUGCUUCAACCUCCUCGUCCCUAUUUUCAAAGAUAAGUUAUCAUUGAUAGUGUGAUGAAGGCAUCAGUGUAUGCACACACGCAUAAAAAACCUUUGUGGAGGUUAGAGACAACUCCUGUAGUUGCUUCUUUCCACCACAGGUCCUGGGGGGUCGCUGGGGUCACCAGCUUCCACGGCAAGUGUGUCUCUCCAUUGAGGCCUCAUUUCAGCUUUAGAGAUCAAAACGAAACCUAAGCUUCUGGGUCAGUUCACCAUCUUAAGAAACAUGUGACAAGGAGAAAAGAAUAGGCCUAGAAUCUAAGCCUUUCCUCCAACUCUCAACUCCUGCUCCUAGUUGGUGAACCCAAUGUGUGACUAAGGAGGAUAGCACCUGCCUGAGGCCAUCAGAAAAAGUUGAACAUUUAAUGUACAUUUAUUUUACACACUAUAUAUUUACAUUUUAAUUUUAAAGACUAGUUUAUCUGUACUGUUAUUUCAGAGAUAUUAUUAAGAGAAAGCUGAAAAUAAUAAAAAUAAAUGCCAAGUGCUAUGUCAAAACGCAAAUUUGGGAAAAUGUGAACUGUGCCAUGUUGGGAUUGAGUUUUUCACUCAUAAUCCUUAAGUACUGUAGCAGAAAACCAAAAUGUAACAAUACUGUAGCAGAAACACCAAAAUGUAACAAUACUGUAGCAGAAACACCAAAAUGUAACAAUACUGUAGCAGAAACACCAAAAUGUAACAAUACUGUAGCAGAAACACCAAAAUGUAGCAAUGCAAUACCCGAGUGACAUCUUAAGUUGUUAAAAGAACCACAAUAGUUUGCUAAAAGGAAUAUAAGAAGGGGACAUUUGAUACUCAAGUACCCCUUUGUUUUGUGACAUAUGUUUUAAAAAUCAUCAUGCAGCCAGGUGUGGUGUGUGACUUAAAUUCUAGUAUUGGAGAGGCAGAGGCAUUCAGAUUUCUGUGAGUUUGAGGUUAGCAUGGUCUACAGAGAAGACAGAGUUCCAGGACAGCCUUGGUUACACAGGGAAACCCAGUUUCAAAACACCAUUAAAAAAAAAAAAAGUAAAAUGGUAUUUACUGGAGGCAUAGGAAGUAAAAGAGCAUGACCUGUUUUUUGUUUUAACAUUUCAAUUUAUGGUGAUAAUUUGAUAGAUAUUUAAUAGUAUUUUAAAUUUUAAUCCAGCAAUCAUUUACUUCCAUCGUCAGGUAAUUUUCAGAUACUAAUAUACCUCAAGGGACCCACAUGGACCACAAAGCACAUUCCACCUGGCCUUUGACAAGCAAGCCAUUACAUGAUCAUAAGCAUGUAACAGAUCUGAAGAGAGUGACCUGUACACCUGACUGGAAAUGGGGGGGAACCUGGGUGAUGGCAACCUGUUAGGUCUUCAGCUCCUGCCUCAAAGCCAAGCUCAGAGAGGCUGUGAGAGUUCAGUUUCCACAAUUUUUCUAAGUUAAAGUUUAGAGGAAGCCCUUCUAGCCUUCCACUCCUUCCUUAUACCUUCCUAAGCUCCAGGGCUUUUAGAACCCAUAGCACAGAGCCAUUGGUGUGGAACAGAACACAAGCUUUUGUGUGGUUGCUAUUCAGCUCUAGUCAGGCCUGGCCUGAGAGGUUACUGGGAACCAUGUGUGCUAGAGUUCCACUGGGGCAGUAGUUCUCAAUCUGUGGGUUGAGACCCCUUUGGUGGUUCACAUAGCAGGUAACCUGCAUAUCAGAUAUUUACAUUAUGAUUCAUGAUAGCAGCAAAAUUACAGUUAUGAAGUAGCUACAAAAUAAUUGUAUGGUUGGGGGUCCCCACAACAUGAGGAACUGUGUUAAAGGGUCACAGCAUCAGGACAGGUAAGAGACACUGUCCUAGGGGUUGUCCUCCACAAGUGCAGGUAUCUUUCCAGACUCCAUUCCUCAUCUCUAAGACGAUCAAACCUGCCCACAAGGUUUGAAAGAUUAAAGAAAGCAUGUAAUGGCCCUAUAGGCUCUCUGUCAAUGAGAACUGUUACUCUUAUCACCCCUGCCCCCACAAUUCACCUCUGCAGUGACAUGUCUACCACCACCAAAAUACAAGUAUCGUUACUCCAAUUGUUACUGUACCACGAGGGUCACGGUCACCAAGAUUAUGGCCAUCCCAUAGCUAGUCAUGCUGCUACUGAUAUUGUUAGCCAAAUACAUCUUUACAAAAACAUUUUACAAUUUAUUUGGGGGUGCGGGGCAUGAGACUACCACAGUGCACACGGGGAGGUAGGUUACAAUUUUCAGAGAUCAGUUCUCUCCAUCUUCUGUGUGUAUCGUAGGGAACUGAACUCAGCUUGUCAAGCUUGGAGGCAAGGACCUUUACCCCCUGAGCUGUCUGUCUCCCUGGCAUGGCCAACGAGAGAAUGGCAAUGGAGAACACAAAUCUAACUGGGUUAGAUUUCAGAGUGGCUUUAACCUUUUGAGAGGCAUUAGCAUUGAUAAUAGCAGUAAAGGUAGAUACAUACUGAACUCCCUGUCUCCCCUAAACCUCCACAGGUUGUAAACACAAUUGUCUUUUUAAGAAACUAGAUUUAAGGCCUCAGUGGUUAAGAGUACUGGCUGCUUUUCCAGAGGUCAUGGGUUCAACUCACAGCACCCACAGGGCAGCUCACAACUGUCUAUAACUGUCCCUUCUUCUGGUGUGCAGACAUAAUGCAGACAAAAUAACCAUACACAUAAAACAAAUAAAUAAGAAUUUAAAAAAAGAAAAGAAACUAGAUUCGGGAGUGCUAUCUGACAAAGACAAAUAGGUUUUCAAUAAUUUAGAAAGGUAGAGAAAAUGCUCACUAAAUGUCCAGAAUCAGAACAAAUGGUCAGAAGUGUCUACAAAAACUGGGUGAAUUUGCAGAAUGUGAAAAGGGAGAAGUCAGAGGAUAAGGAAGGGAUAGUGCUCACAAUUAAUUUUGUAAAGAGGAAGCAUAAAAUUACUUAGCUCUCACUCUAUCCAACAAAUGAAAGACACGUACGUGUCAUUCUCAGUAAGAUUAACUCACAGCUUUGGAGGACACCAGGCUGGAAAUGUUGACUCAAAUGAACAGGAGAGCUGAGGUGAACCUCUGAGAUCCUCUUGAUCUGUGACCAGUCUGUGCAGAUAGAGGUCUCAGUGGACCAGAGCCAUCUUUACAAAGUGUAAGGGAGACUCAAUUUCUGUUUAAAAAGCUGUCCUCUGAGCCUCUGAUAGGCAGGUAACGAGAGUUACCUCAAAAAUACUCAGGAGAAUGACCCAACAGGAGAGAGGCCUUUGUUCCAAAUACUUUGGAUCAGGAAAAUCAGGCAACACAAAAAGCUAUUUACUAAGGGUUUCUCUGAGUUUCUAAAUUUGCUGGGGAAUUCAAUCUUGUGGUUAUAGUUCCUUAGUUGUUGUUUUUUUUCCUCAAAGUAGCUUUACUAAAUGAUUUGCACACCACAAAAUUCACCCAUUGUCAGUGCAUAAUUUGCUAGUGUUUCAGCAACUACAUAGUGGCUAUUCCAUUUCUGCCUGAUUCUCCUUCCCCCUUCUGUGUUUUUCUGGUGCAGGGAUAGAGUACAGGGUCUCUCACACUAUGUCCUCAGCAUAUGUGAUUAAAUGCAUUAAUAUUUUUAUUUAGUUUAGUACUUCAUUUGAGCUGGAGAGAUAACUCAUUUGACAGAAAGCCUAUCUAGUAAACAGGAAACCUGGGUUCAGUCCUUAGUACCACAUAAAACUAGGGCUGCUGGUAAACUCCUGAAAUCCCAGCCUGGAGCUGGAGGCGAGGACCAGAAAUCAUCCUGGGUACUGACUGAGUAGCCAUCUAAUCAACCAAACAGUAUUCCCUGUCAAACAUAAGCUGCAGUUGCUGAUGGAAAGCCCAACAGUAAAUGCCAUUUUACCCCAAUGUCUAGUCAAUCAAGAGGCCUUCUGGGGCAGGGUGGAUGGACAAGGUCAGGACAGAACUAGGAAUGAAGGGGUUGAAGCACGUGGGAUGCGAUGGCAGGGAAGUGGGGGGUGAACACCCAGAGGCUGUUCCUUCUUUCCUUGUUAUUUUUUGUUCAAGAUCAGAUGUGUGCCUGUGUAUACAUCUGAUCUACCCCUAUUCAGAUUUGAUUAGAAUGGAAAUGCUUUUAAAAAAAGAUCUUAUCUGGCGGCUGAGGAGAUGGCUCAGUGGGUGAAGUCUUUCUGCACUCCCAUAAAGAACUGAAUUCCAUGCAUGUAAAAAGCUGGGUGCCAUAGGCAGUGGUACAUGUCUGCACCACAAGUGCUGGGAAAAUGGAGCUGGGAGGACCCAGAGUUCUGCUGGUCAGCUAGUCUAGCUCGUCUAGCUCCAGUGAAAGAACAUGUCUCAAAAGUAAGGUAGACGGGGAGAGAGGCAGACGUCCCAUACUGAUCCCUCACUUUACCUGCGUACACGACAGCAUGCACACCAGCACAAGGCCCAAACACAGACGCACGUCACACUCACAAACACAAAGUUAAAAAAGAAUCCUAUACAGUCUGUUAUUUGUGUAUUUACUGUUAUCCAGAAGAAACCGUACUUGUACUAUUUUAUUUAAGAAUGGCAGUCACGGUUUUGUAACGACCCUGCAUGUGAGUGAUUUCCAAACCCUUUCUGGGGUUUUAGGUCUGACAACGAGACUUCUGGGAUUUACCCAGCAACAAGAAUAAUAUUUUUUUUUAAUUUUUUUUAGAUGUAGGAGAAAUGUAAAGCUAUUUCGUUAUACUACCUUUAAGAGUAGGUUUUGAAGCAUCACAGUAAAGAUGAAGCCAAUAAUUUAAAAAGUUACCAAACCUAUGACUUAUUUUUUUAAAUAAUGAAAAUAUAAACAAAAACAAACCAAACAAAAAAUUCUCUUCUCCCUUAAUACUAGACUCACUAUUUGCCUCUAAAAACAACACAGUUAUGAGCGGUAGGGAAAGCUCACAAACCAUGCUUUAAAUGCGUUUCUCUCUCAUUCCUUUUUUUAAAUUGCAAUUUGGUGUGUAUCACAAAUCUGUCACAAAGUCUUCAUUGGAGCCCUCGGAUUUCCUAACGGCUGGGCUUUUCUCCGAGCUGAUAUAGCAUACAGCAAUGAAAACUCUGAACGAACAGGGACACAAAGAGGAAAAGGCAAUUACCCGGAAUCUCAGAAGUAGAUCUCUGCCCAAUCUUUCAUUUUCACCCGGAUUCACCGGGUGCUACUGGGUUGCUGCUGUUCAGAAAUAGAUGGGAAAGGCUGUGUGGGUGGUGGGAUGGGUGGCUGGGCGUGAACGGGGACACACCGUCAUCGCUUAGUGGCUCAACUCCGUUGACAAAGACAACAACCAAAUCUUUAGAUGGUUUGUUUGAUCUCUGUGAAAGAGUGGCAGUGGGCUUUCUGGCGCUUGAGCGAGUGGGAAAAAUAUUUUUGGCUGCGGAGAUUUUUCUCCAGAGUUUUCUCGGGGAGCCUUCGAGAGAGCCAUCUGGAUCCAGCAGUGUUUCUUUUUGUAAAGCUCCUCCGCACUUGGAAGCAUAGGGGAAAGGUGCGGAGCUGGGAGCACACCUAAGAGAACCCGCUUGCCUCCUGUAUUUGGAAGGGGCGACUUAGUACAGCUGGCAGUACGAGAGGAAAAGGAAAAGGAACCAACUCCUUUACGCGUUAAUAAGAGAUCGCUUGUAAUUGAUGUUCCCCGCAUAGGAAGUGUUUAUUAAUGUCAGCUCAUUAGUCCACACUAUGCCCCUUCAUGAGUGAAACAGGAAUGUUCCAGUUACGUGAUACUUAUCACGGUAACGUCACUACUGACCUUGUCUUGACCUUUAUCACUGUUAAUGGGACCUAGAUCUUGAACGAACACCCCCCCCCCCCAGAGUUCAGUCAGCUUGCGAAGCUGUAAUGAAUGAAAACUGCUAAAAAUGUUCAAACAAAAUCCUUCCAAAUCCACAUGAAGCACUCAGGGCAAUGAUGGGAUUAAAAAGAGAUUGCCUGGAAAACGAAGUCAAACUCAGGUUUGUAGCCAGAUACAGCAGAAACCUCAUCAUAAAUGAUAUGUACAUAUCUGCUAUCCCGUCAUACCCUUCACACUGGAACGAAGUGGUAACUCUUAGGUUAAGAUUUCCUGUGACUGUGCUUCCUUGAGCAGCACAUAUGCUGACAUUGGAAAGAUACCGAGAUUAGCUUUGCCCUUCUGCAAAGAUGGCAUGCAAGUUCACGAAGAAUUCCAUGUUUAGACAUGUUGGGAGAAAAAAGAUUUUCUUCCAUUAGUGAUCAUUUCUAGAAAGCAACAAGCUAUUACUCGAGCUGUUACCGUCUAACAAGCGAUGAAGGGGGGGGAGGAACCUUAGCAGUAACAUCAUAAUUCAGACGUGAAAAGUACACAGGGUCAAAUAUGCUUUUAUAUAAUAUAUUAAUACAUAUUUUACAGGUACUAAGUUCUGUGUAAUUACAGUUUCUGUUGAUCCCAACAGUAACUAAUGACUUGAGAAGUUCCCACUGUAAUUAUCUGGUUUUUACAUUAUGUAAAAUUCUUAGUGGAUUAACAAAAAAAAAAAAAAAGGAAAGGAAAGGAAAACAAGAAAGCUAUAUUCCUUCACUAAGCAAACACUAAAUCCAGUUCUGAAAUGGAGAAUUUCUAGAUAUUAUAAACUCUUCAUGAUGAACAGAAAAAGAUAUAUAAAUGAUAAAUGGGUUCAUUUAAAAAAUAAUUUAUACUUUUAAAGCAGAUCAUGUGAAAAUGAUUUAUCCCAGCUAACGUAUUUUACCAAGUGCAGUGGAAGAAUUAGUGAUUUGCAGACUGUAUCUCAGAAUACAGUUUUGCUAGGAGGAGGAGAGGAUCUGUCUGGUUAGUAAUGUUGGUUAAAAUUAUAAAUAUGUUGCUUCCUGGGAAUUAAAACAGGAAUAGGACUUAUGCUGAAUAACCUUUUGGUAACAGACUUUAAUAAGAGAAACCAAGCUAAAUUUCCAAACCUCAGCCUGCUGCUUUCAUUCUUAUUAAAAGGGGAUGGUGUGCCAGGUAAAACUGGUUAUCUCUGGUACUUUUGAGUACCACUACCUGUCAAAUGGCCAUUGACUAGGUGAGUUAUAUCAUUGUUCUUCUAGGGCAAAUUGUUUUUCACAUGUACUCAUCCUAAGUGCAUCAGACUUAAUUUCCAUGGAACUGCUAAGAGAAAAGACCACUGAAUGAUCAAAGUCUGAGCCCCCACAACUCACCUGCUCCUGAUAUAAGCCUUCCUGCAGCUGUCAUUUAGAGAGACGGGAAGAAAAGGAUAAGACAUCCUCCACCAACACACGUUUUUCAUUUUAAGUUUCCUUGAACUCAUGGGGACAGAGUGAUGAGCAGUGGUGACUGUCAGCUGACUGCCUCUACCUACCCCAUACAAACCUGUGAGGGACCCACUGUCUCCGGUGCCAGCCGGUACCCACAGGUGCCAGCAGAGACCACCACCACUGCCAAAAACAACAAGAAAACACCCCAAAACAAAAAAACAAACAAAAAAAGAAAAAGAAAAAAGGAGUAAGAAGAAAAGAAGGAGAGAGAAAACCGGCCCCCACAAAACCCAGAUUCCACAUGGAUUUCAAACAAGGUUGGAAUGGAUCAGAAUCUUCCAAGGCUUCCCAAAGUUCCUACAACCGAUCGAUAUGCCGUGCCACAGGCUGCUUGGUGCAGUGGACCAGAGGCUAAUAAAACUGUCCUUAUCCAUAAGCCGCAGUAUUAUGUGACCAUGUCUGGGCCAGGAACCAAGGCGUGCUAUGAUUUCAGAGCCUGGAUUCCGGUUACCUGGGGAGGAGACACGCUCCGGUGACGUAGGAAAGCAGAUAAAUCAACCAUCCCCAAGACCUGCGGCCUCCGAAAUUAAGGGAGAAAAUCUGCGUGCGGUUGGUUCAAUUGGCACCCAUUAAAGCUAAUAACUAAUCAUCCUCGCGAGUUUCUAGCUCAGAACGAUGAGAUCUGCGAAGAAAACAACAUCCGUCCACUUUUACACUCCAGUGGAAGGGGUGGUCCCUCGCGGCGGGGCGGCACAGUCUCGCCAUCUGGAGAAUAAAUCGAGUGUGAAGUAUAGUUUGGGACCAAGGUCCGUGGCGGCCGCUCAGCAGUCAGUUCAUUAGCCCCAAACUUCCAGGGAUUAGAGGGGCAUCAAUUCUACUGUCGGAUAGGAUGAGACAGACAGGGCACAGGAUUCAAGAAGCAUAGAGACAACCAGGAGCCCCCCUCUGGCUUAUUUAUAGAACCACAAAGUAUAAACACACUCAAAUAAGUGCCUUAAGUAACAGCAUCAUCACAGUUCCCCAACAUCUGAAUUAACACCGCCUCCCCAACACCUGUACCCCCACCUCUCCCCUUCCCAAACAGUGAUCGUUAAAGUACACACUUUACUGGGACGGGGGAAAGCACACCUCCAUCAGAGGCUGAGAUCUGGUAAUUAAGAAACAGGAAAGACCUCCUAGACUCAGGGGAGAUGGGCAGCCUUUGUAAUUAAAAACAUAUAUAAAAUCAAUAUUUUCAUUCCAUAAAGACAAAUACCAUGCUUCACGUUCCAAACCACGACUGAACUCUUCCUUUCUAGACCGGCCCAUCCUAACCCAUCUCGUUGUUCAAGUGAUGUCACAGGUAAGGUCUUUUCCAGAUUUUACACAUUAAGGUCCUGAUAUCAGCAUCUUUAAGCUAUAAUCGUCCAAGUUAGGUUAAGUCAAAACAAGACAAAACAAAACAAACAAAAACAAAAACAAAAAAACGCCUUGGAGUGAACUGCUCCAUUUAAAGACCUCGUUUCUCAUCUGCCUUUUAGAUAUUUAAAGACACAAAAGAGGUCAUCACAAGGAGAGCACAUUGCACUUUGUCGUCAGUGCACAGCAUUUACCAUUACGGGGCCACUAAAAGGGAAGUAGUAACUGAGUUGCAAAACAUGUUCCCUGAUUCUUGCAAACUGGCAGUGUGUUUCAUUAGGCAAGAGACGGUGCUGACUUUUAAAAGGUCAUUAACUACAAAAUAAUGAGUUUUGUUCUGACCUUUCCAAAUACACACAGGGUGUACUUUGAUCAUAUGAAUCUCUAGUUCACUGUUUUUUGUUGUUGUGGGUAAAGAAGUCUUGGUUUGUUUCCUGAAAGAAAAAGGAAGGAUAGAAGGAAGAGGGACCUGCUUCAACGACACUGUCAGUUAAUUAACUGGUUUAAAGUCUCAGGCCUUGAUUCAUCCUGCAAGAUUCUCCAUGUCAUUCCUAUUUACUCUGAAACCACAGAUUUAGAUACAGGAGAGUUUUCUUUUCUUUUCUUUCUUUUAAUGUGUUUAUCAUGAAUGAUAUAUUAAAACAAGGGCUUAUAGUAAAAAAUUACAAACCAUCUUUCAUUUCGUUCCAAGGAGUGAGGAGGCUCAGGAAGCUUAUAGUACAUGCUUGGAAUUUCUCGUGACAGAUAUUGACAGGCAGCAAACACAACAUAUAAAAGACAACAAUGACAUCCAAACUCUAUGACAGCGAUCUUCUUUACAGGCUCUGAGCAAUUACAAACAUUUCUAAGACACCCACCAAGAGGCUCUGAGGGGAAAGGUCCUUGGGGGCCAAGCUUGAGGACCUGUGUCUGAUCCCAAACCUCACAGUAGAAAAGAGAACUGUCAAGUUGUCCUUUGACCUCCACACAAGCCAGCACGCACUCCAUCACAAAUAAGUGUAAAAGAAGUUUUAAAUAUUUCUGAAGGGAAAAUAGCUCUGAGACACAUGAGUGCUACGUUUGUCUCCUAUCAAGGAGUGAAGGCUUGGCAUCUGUGCAUUUCUCUGAACUAUAAAUAAAUAAAUAAAUAAAUAAAUAAAUAAAUAAAUACCUAAUAUCCAUCUCAAUAACAAGCACACAGUAGGACCGAGGGAAGAGUGGGGCUAUCUGUAACUUACAUUGAAUUUUAGAGAAUGAGUGGAUGGUGAACAAGAGGACAGAUGAGGGAAGGCAGAAUCAACAUGUCAGUGGGAAAAAACAGCAGGAAAUAAUGGCGUUCAUUUUACAAUCUUCCAAAUUUCCUGAUGUUCAGAAUUCUGCUUAUAAGAUUGAGAGGGAAAAAAAUCCUGAAAAGAUUUCUCAUAUGUUCAUAUUUUGGAGAGCUGGUCAAUGACUAUGUAUUUAAAUAAAACAAUUCUCUUUGACAUAUAUAUAUGUAGAUAUAUAUAUAUAGAUAUAUAUAUGUAGAUAUAUAUGGUAUAUAUAAUGGGUGUUUUCACAAUAAAAGAAGUUUAAAAAUAACAACUUUCACUUUGUUGUUUGUAGACAACUAUUUGAGUUUUGGGUGGGUGUGUUUGUCUUGGCGGUGGUGGCGUUUUGUUUUUUUUGUUUUUGUUUUUGUUUUUUCACGUGUAGCACAUGCAAGUCUGGUCCUCUCAGAGGGCAGAAGGCAGCAUUGGAGUAUGGGUGGUCAUGGGCCAGAUGUGGGUGCUGGGAACCAAAUUCAGGUCCUUUGCAAAAGCAACAAUUGUUCUUCACCACUGAGCCAUGGUUCCAGCUCCUUCGUAAUGGUUUAAUGAGAUGAAACUUACACAACAUAUAAUCCGCCCAUGUGUACUUCUGCGCAUUUGCUUUGUUUUGAAACUCAGAGACAUAGCAUAGAACCUUCCAUAAAUUGUUUUCGCCGUUCGUGGUUAGGUGUCAGGGUUCAUGCACGUCCUGCUAUCUAUCAGCCCCUUCUCCUCUACUGUCAGACAAUAUCCUAUCCUAUGGAUACAGUACAUUAUACUUCAUCAGCUAAUGGACACCUAGGCUGCUUUCUACUUUGGGGCUGUUGUGGAACAUGCUCUAGCAUUUAUGAACCCACCUUUGUAUACGAUUCCCAUACAUUUACACCUCUCUUGACUUUGUCCUGAAAAGAAAGUGGGACGCCUAGGUCCCAUAGUCCCUUGUAUGCUCUCAAUGUGGCUACGCCAAUUUAAUAUUCCCAUCAGUAUGUGAUGAGUAAUAAGAGACUCCUAGGACUGGGAGUGAGGUAACAAUUUGGUCAGUAACACAGAACCUACUGCCCAUAGGCAGGAGGGGCAAGGGAGGCCUUGACUGGGGCAAGCGCCUCUGAAAACUAAGGAUUUUUGUAGCAGCAGACAGCCCCCAGAGAAGAGCCCAAAGGGACAGAUGGGACAGCUGUGAGAAUGCAGGCGCUGGCCAUGGACAAGCCUGAUGAUCUAAGUUCCAUCCCUGGAAUCCACGGUGGAAGGAGAAAACUGUCUCCUGAAAGGUGUUCCACGUGGGGUAAUGUGUGUUGUGCAUGAGUGCAUGCUCUCUCUCCCUCCCUUUCUUCCUCCCUCUCCCCCUCCUUCUCCCCCUCCUCCUACUCUCUCUCUCUCUCUCUCUCUCUCUCUCUCUCUCUCUCUCUCUCUCUCUCUCUCUCUCACACACACACACACACACACACACACACACACACACACAAAAUGUGGAUGGCUAGUAUAUAUGAAGCCAGAGGUGGGAGCCCUGUUUAAUGCCUUUGGGACUGACAGAAAAACAAGAGUCUCUGAGAGCAGUGUCUUAGCAGUGAGGGAAUUAAGGCAGCGCUCCACUGGAGAGAGGCUGAAGAGGUGACAGUACAUGAAUUCACAGGUACACCCUAAAGUCCCUCUGGACCACGUGCCCUGUGCCCACGAUUGCAUUUGGAGCUGACCUUGGUCCUUGUUCAGUCCCAUCCACAAUGAGGCAUCUUCUUUUGGGAGGGCCUCUAGGCUCAGAGGGGACUCACUCCCUUUUUCUUCAGAACCUGAGUUUGUGUGUGUGGGGGGUUCCAUUUUAGGGGACUCCUGGUCCAGCCCACUGACACUGCAGAGUGGGUGGCCAGCCGCCUCGCUGAGCACGCCCUCUAAUUGGUCUCUUUCCACCCUGCCCCCGGAGGACUGAGAAGGUGUCUCUCUUCCCCAACUAGUACAAAGUACAGCUGGAGCCAAGCUGCCCUCUCCCUCUCUCUCCGUAUUUAUAUUUCACGACUUCUCUGGGUUAGAGGAGGUAAUUAACUGUUUUGGUUUAAAAGCCCUCCUGCUGGGUCGCAGUCUGCGUGGGAGAAUCAAAGUAAACAAGCAAAAGGGAGCACUAUCAUCAAAGGACUCCGCACCUACCUUUCUUCAUUACGAGAAGGGAAACGCACCAUUUGCCGCAGGUGCCGCGGAUCACCGUUUGGGGCAGGGUCCUGGUGCUUUCAUUCUUUUGAAUGGUAAAUCAAGAGUGAUCGGUUCAUAAUUUAAUGAGGCAGGCUUACUGAGGGUCCAAACAUGCUGGAGAUAACAGGCGUGUCACCUGUGCCCUGCCUGAACAGUUGUAAAUGAUGCUGGCAACAUAUUCUGUCAGGUAACUUCCUCUAGCUACAUUGUAGAAAAGGGAUCAAAAGUUUCCUCUUCAUCUGAACAUCAAGAACCAGUUGUUGGGGCUGGGCACCUAGCUCAUUUGGUAGAAGUGUUUGCCUAGCAUGCUUGAGGACCUGGAUUUGAUCCUGACCCACAAAAUCUGGGUGUCUUGGGGCUCACUGGUAAUAGCAGCAGUCAGGAGGCAGAAACAAGAAGGUUCAAGAAGUUCAAGGCCAUUCUCAGCUACACAGAAAGUUUCUUGCCAAUUCGAGUUACUUUUUAUUUUAGUUUUUUGAAGUUUUAUUUUGCUUUUUUUAUUUUUGAUUUUUUUUAAAGAUUUAUUUAUUUACAUGAGUACACUGUAGCUGUCUUCAGACACACUAGAAGGGGGCAUUGGGUCCCCCCUCAGAUGGUUGUGAGCCACCAUAUGGUUGCUGGGACUUGAACUCAGGAUCUCUGGAAGAGCAGCCAGUGCUCUUAGCCACUGAGCCAUCUCUCAUCCUGUUGUUGUAUUUUUAUGUGGGGGAAAAGGAUCAAAACUGAGCAGUGGUGGUACAAGACUUUAGUCUCAGCACUUGGGAGGCAGAGGCAGGUGGAUCUCUGAGUUCAAGGUCAGCCUGAUUUACAGAAUGUGUUCCAGCACAGCCAGAGCCAUACCGAGAAACCCUGUCUCAGAAAAACAAACAAACCAAUUUUUGAAAAUAUAUUUAUUGUAUUGUGUGAAUGAGCAUGAUGGGCUGACACAAAUACGACACAUCAUAAAUAUAGGAGUUUUUCUGCCCUCCUUUAGGUAGACUCUGGGGGUUGAACUGAGGUCACUGGUUUAGUCAAGUAUCUUUACCUACUGAGCCAUCUUGCCAGGCCAAGAACAAAUUUUUAUAUUAAACUCUGGCUCACUUCUAUGUAGAAAGACAUGUUUCUCUAUCC
This is a non-coding RNA of Rattus norvegicus (Norway rat), 21357 nucleotides long. The record is from RefSeq and is a predicted model, not a curated record. Lineage: Eukaryota; Metazoa; Chordata; Mammalia; Rodentia; Muridae.